This 140-nucleotide ribosomal RNA is filed under the name uncultured Atribacterota bacterium. RNAcentral describes it as "uncultured Candidatus Atribacteria bacterium partial 16S ribosomal RNA". It matches the Rfam family "Bacterial small subunit ribosomal RNA", at positions 338 to 477 of the family's 1533-position model. Lineage: Bacteria; Pseudomonadati; Atribacterota. The record is from RNAcentral.
CCUACGGGAGGCNGCCGUGGGGAAUUUUGCGCAAUGGGGGAAACCCUGANGCAGCGACCCCGCCUGGAUGAUGAAGGCCUUUGGGUUGUAAAAUCCUGUUCNGGGGGAAGAAAGCUUAAGGGUCCAAUAAACCCUUAAGC